CUCCAACUCAAAGAAACCAAUCCACCACAAGCAGACGCCAAGUUUUCAGAGAGCCUUUAAAUCAAGACAACAAGCACUGAUUGAAAACCCACUCUCUGGGCUACUAAAGCGCCGAUAAUACAAAGGAGAAAGGUGGCCGUUUGGGAGCCCCACACCGUAUUCUUAAUCAUUGAUUGGUUCUGCCUCGUUCCAGCUGAGAGCUGUUAAACCUUUACUUAAAAAGAAGAAGAUCUCCCACAGCAUCCAGUACUCUCUCCCGUCCUGAUCUAUAUCUUGCCAUAGGACCCAGAAGGCUCUGGAGGAGAAAUGUCACAGAAGUCCACUAGGAAGAUAAAAAUCAAGACAACUGGCAAUGACUCAGGAUGCAGUGAAUGACCUUAAUAUCAUUGCAUUCUAAUCAAGCUCUAUGGGCUCAACACAGCCUAUUUCCACCGCCUUCGUGGCUUCGUGAGACAAAUUGCCUAUUCUGUUAGGGGAAAUCUUCAUAUACUUAAGGUAUACUCCACUAACUCAUCAAUGGAUUUAAUUGAUUACCUUCAAUCUGGUUUAACCCCUCUGUCUAAACAGUUUACUAGGCUGUGGCUGCUGGAUUGGAGCCACCUGUGAGAGCUGGAUGACAGAUGGACACCAAAGAUGGAAAAUAGCUCUGCAAAGAGUUGGGCAGCUCACAUCAAAGCUAUUAGUCUUCUCACCCUCUUCUAAACACUCUGCAAUCUGGCUUCAGAUCUCAUCAUUCAAUUAAAAUUGCUUUCUUCAAAGCUACCAGUGAUCUUUUAAUUUUAUUUAAUUUAGUAUUAUUCUAACUCCAAGUAAUUCUAGUCUAGAGGAAGAAAUAGCUAAACUUUCAUAAUUCCCCCAUGACCACUCUGACACCUCUCUACUCUGAGCAAAUUUAAGGUAAUAUAAAUAGGAAUCUUGAACAAGGAAAAUAUUAUUAUAUGUUCAAAUACAGUUUGGGACUAACAUUCCAAACAAACAAUAAUAUUUAAACUUCUAAAACAAAAUGGCCUGCAAACUAGAGAGAGCCAAAUCCACUUCCACCAGAGCUAAGAAUACUUUUUUACAUUUUCAAAUAAAAUAAAACUAUUUGAAAAUGUAAAAAAAUCAUUUUUAGAUCUGAGGUCAGAAUUUGAAAAGCCUGAGUGCUGAGAAUGUUUUUACAUUUUAAUGUUAACAAUGGAUUCCUCCCUAGAUCAUUCCCCUUAAGGGAUUUUUCCUAGUUUCUUUGUAUCCUCAGUGCCACUAAUUGGUCUGAUUAGCCACAGUCAGACAAACUGUAAGAUGACUCUAGUAUAAUAAUGUCAUUUUGGUCCUCUUUGAGAAUGGAAUUACAUAAAAAUUACAUGCAAUAAAA
This is a long non-coding RNA of Sarcophilus harrisii (Tasmanian devil), 1354 nucleotides long. RefSeq lists it as uncharacterized. NCBI's taxonomy places the organism in Eukaryota, Metazoa, Chordata, Mammalia, Dasyuromorphia, Dasyuridae. The record is from RefSeq and is a predicted model, not a curated record. The transcript is spliced from 3 exons.